GACGGAGGAUGCUAGCGUUGUUCGGAAUUACUGGGCGAAAAGCGUGCGCAGGCGGCCUGGUUAGUCGGAGGUGAAAUCCCGGGGCUCAACUCCGGAACUGCCUCCGAGACGGCUGGGCUUGAGCGAAGGAGAGGAGAGCGGAAUUCCCAGUGUAGAGGUGAAAUUCGUAGAUAUUGGGAAGAACACCGGUGGCGAAGGCGGCUCUCUGGCCUGUUGCUGACGCUCAGGCACGAAAGCGUGGGGAGCAAACAGG
This 253-nucleotide ribosomal RNA is filed under the name uncultured bacterium. RNAcentral describes it as "partial 16S ribosomal RNA". It matches the Rfam family "Bacterial small subunit ribosomal RNA", at positions 524 to 776 of the family's 1533-position model. The record is from RNAcentral.